RNAcentral lists this ribosomal RNA (289 nucleotides) under uncultured Armatimonadaceae bacterium. Its description in RNAcentral is "partial 16S ribosomal RNA". The record is from RNAcentral. Lineage: Bacteria; Bacillati; Armatimonadota; Armatimonadia; Armatimonadales; Armatimonadaceae.
CUACAGGGGUAUCUAAUCCUGUUUGCUCCCCACGCUUUCGCGCCUCAGCGUCAGUUACAGGCCAGCGAGCUGCCUUCGCCAUGGGUGUUCCGAUCGAUAUCUACGCAUUUCACCGCUACACCGACCAUUCCACUCGCCUCUCCCGCACUCAAGGUUCCCAGUAUGAAAGGCAGUUCCGAGGUUGAGCCUCGGAAUUUCACCCCUCACUUAAAAACCCGCCUACGCGCUCUUUACGCCCAGUAACUUCGGACAACGCUCGCCCCCUACGUAUUACCGCGGCUGCUGGCAC